GUGAAGGUGGCUCAGUGGUAGAGUGCUUGCCUUGCAUACAAGAGGCCCUGGGUUCGAUUCCUCAUCACCACA
Dipodomys ordii (Ord's kangaroo rat) is the source of this 72-nucleotide non-coding RNA. Lineage: Eukaryota; Metazoa; Chordata; Mammalia; Rodentia; Heteromyidae. The record is from Rfam.